Non-coding RNA from Tephrocybe sp. NHM501043, 101 nucleotides. NCBI's taxonomy places the organism in Eukaryota, Fungi, Basidiomycota, Agaricomycetes, Agaricales, Lyophyllaceae. The record is from the annotation of a GenBank genome assembly.
GGUGACAUGGCCGAGCGGUCUAAGGCGCCAGAAUCAGGAUCUUCUUCGGAGAGCUUUUCAUCUGGUCUUUCGGGGCGGGAGUUCGAAUCUCCCUGUCAUCA